CCUACGGGUGGCUGCAGUGGGGAAUAUUGCACAAUGGGCGCAAGCCUGAUGCAGCCAUGCCGCGUGUGUGAAGAAGGCCUUCGGGUUGUAAAGCACUUUCAGCGGGGAGGAAGGCGUUAAGGUUAAUAACCUUGGCGAUUGACGUUACCCGCAGAAGAAGCACCGGCUAACUCCGUGCCAGCAGCCGCGGUAAUACGGAGGGUGCAAGCGUUAAUCGGAAUUACUGGGCGUAAAGCGCAGGCAGGCGGUCUGUCAAGUCGGAUGUGAAAUCCCCGGGCUCAACCUGGGAACUGCAUUCGAAACUGGCAGGCUAGAGUCUUGUAGAGGGGGGUAGAAUUCCAGGUGUAGCGGUGAAAUGCGUAGAGAUCUGGAGGAAUACCGGUGGCGAAGGCGGCCCCCUGGACAAAGACUGACGCUCAGGUGCGAAAGCGUGGGGAGCAAACAGGAUUAGAUACCCUUGUAGUC
This 465-nucleotide ribosomal RNA is filed under the name uncultured Klebsiella sp. RNAcentral describes it as "bacterial SSU rRNA". It matches the Rfam family "Bacterial small subunit ribosomal RNA", at positions 338 to 795 of the family's 1533-position model. Lineage: Bacteria; Pseudomonadati; Pseudomonadota; Gammaproteobacteria; Enterobacterales; Enterobacteriaceae. The record is from RNAcentral.